Long non-coding RNA from Oryzias melastigma (Indian medaka), 1658 nucleotides. RefSeq lists it as uncharacterized. NCBI's taxonomy places the organism in Eukaryota, Metazoa, Chordata, Actinopteri, Beloniformes, Adrianichthyidae. The transcript has 2 exons. The record is from RefSeq and is a predicted model, not a curated record.
CUCUCAUAAAAUCAGUCCCAAUCAGUGAGAUCAAAGCAGGCCUGGAGAGAGGCAAUAUUAUCUUCUGACCAGAUUUUUACGCUCCUCUGUGGACCUCAAUUCUGCAUCUGAACAGGUCAUGGGUGAGAGGAAGUACCCUGCUCUUCAUCUUUCUGGCACAGAUACUGGAGAGACAUUUGGGCUAGAAUAUGCAGAACCAGAAACCCGUCCAGUGCCGCUCAACUGGGACAAGCACAAAUCCAGGUCCGCGCCCACUGAGACUCCACAUCCUCUGUCCAGCCCACUCACUCCAAGGCCGGAGCUUCCUCCUCCUAUGCCGGAGACUCCAGCCAGGAUCUUUCAGUUCUGCUCUCAGCUGUCUGACUCUCCAGUUGAAGAUCAAACUGUGCAACCACAAACCAAAAUAGAAGGUGCAGCUCCGUCACCAUUCCCCCUUCUAUCUACACCAUCUUCUGCAUGUACUGGACCCAUAAAGACUGGAGGGAGAGUCUGCGCUGACCUGCCCCCAUGAAUGAGGUCAUUGAUCGCCCCCUCACGAAGCACCGGGGACAAAAGGACAUGCUGAAGCUAGUGUACCAGGACUAUGCUGCUCUGGUUCAAAGCUACUGCCGGGACCCAAACAGCUUGCUCCACCCUGUGACAAGACACAUCAAACUCCUGAGGUUAGGGACUGCAGAUGGAAACUAGCUGUCUAGCUAUAAUCUGGUGCAGAACAUCUCUGUUUGUUUUAAACUUAAUGAAUCUGUACACUGUCCCUUCAAAUAAAGACUAAACCUAAACCGGAACACGACCACAUCCCUGAACACCAGCCCAGAAAAGCUCCAGGACCGACAAAGGCUGUGGGAUUCUCUCACAUCAGGAAUUGAAACCACCAGUGUCCCAGUUGUGCAGAUGUCUGAUCAUAUCACUAUUCCACCUCCACCGGCUCAGGCUCCCACCACAACUCUGACCCAUGAAACUGUUGAAAAAAACGUCCAAAACAUCCUAGAGAAGCAGCAGCAGCACGAACAACUGGACGCACAAAAAAGCCCCAAACUAAAAAGUGCCUUUCCUGUGGCCAGCCCAAAUCCAGAUAUGAGAAUGAUGGUUCCUCCCUCCACUUUUUCUAUCAGCAAUGACCUGUCAUGGUACUUUUAUUGCCCUACAAAAGUCUUUCAAACAUAAAAUGCAGAGGGCCUGACAAACCCCAAAAUGGCGUUUGAAUAUUUUUUGAAGACAGAAUUUUUCCAGCGGGAACUUGAGGGAACACAGAAGAGGACGGAGGAGAAAAAAAACAACUGAAAGGAAACAAACAGAAACUGCUGUACCUGCUGGGCGCAAGUGCUUAUUCUGCAAGCUGUCUCUGAAACAAGGACCAGACAGCCCUCAAAUCCACACCAACUUCCCAGGCGUGGUAGGGAAGUACAUCUACUGCCCUGGUAAAGUUUUCUCCCUCCAUAGAGGGAUGAGAAUGGGAGAUGUCCUGGAGCAGCCUUAAGGGUUCAACAUUUUACAAAUUAGAGAGGCAGCGAUAGGAGGAAGAAAGGAAAAAAUGAAGAGAAAAAUUGGCUUAUCUUCUCAUGUCUAAAUAUUAUGUAUGUAUGUAUGUAUAUAUACAUGUCUUUAUAACUGUAUUAAGCAAUACAUGUACUUAUGUAUAUUAAAAAAAUAACAUUUUA